This is a non-coding RNA of Camellia sinensis, 686 nucleotides long. NCBI's taxonomy places the organism in Eukaryota, Viridiplantae, Streptophyta, Magnoliopsida, Ericales, Theaceae. The record is from RefSeq and is a predicted model, not a curated record.
UAACUAUUCAACUCCCACUAAUCUGAUGGAUGGAAAUAAUUCCGAUGACAAUGAGAACACCAAAAUGUGGAUGCCCAGAAUUGAAACGAAAUUAAUAAAUAUGUUGAGAGAUGAGGUUAGAAACAAUCAAACAACGGGCCGUACUACUUCAUGGACAAUUAAGCAUUGGAAUCAUUAUGCAAAUCAAUUGCACAACAUAUAUGGAUUUCAGUAUACAGGUGUCAAGGUGCGCCAAAAAUAUCAGCGAUUGAAAGCUGAUUACCAGACAUUUAAGCGACUGUAGGCACAAACCGGUCUGGGAUGGGAUCCUAUUAUAGGCACUGUUGUUGCACACGAUGAAUUUUGGGAUAAGGCUAGCAGAAAUGUGAAGAAGUUUAGGACAAAAGGGUUUGAAUAUUUUCAAGAAAUGACAGAAAUUGUUGAAAAUUGUUGUGCCACAGGGGCCCUAUCUCGUGCAUCCACACAAGGACCCCUUGACUCAGAAGAAGAAGAUGACAUGUUAAACAAAUUUUGGAACGCUGAUGCUGGUGGGAGUAAUGCUGCUGAGGCCAUUCCUGUUGACUUAUUCGGAGAUGAGUAUAUCGAUCCAGCAAAGGAAAAAAGUUACAAGAGAGGCCCUGCAACUAGCCAGACUGACAGUGGUCGUUCCAAAAAGUCACGGUCAAGUGGGUUUGAUGAUGUGUGCG